GACGAACGCUGGCGGCGUGCUUAACACAUGCAAGUCGAACGGUAAGGCCCUUCGGGGUACACGAGUGGCGAACGGGUGAGUAACACGUGGGUGAUCUGCCCUGCACUUCGGGAUAAGCCUGGGAAACUGGGUCUAAUACCGGAUAGGACUCCGGACUGCAUGGUCUGGGGUUGAAAGCUUUUGCGGGUUGGGAUGGGCCCGAGGCAUAUCAGCUUGUUGGUGGGGUGAUGGCAUACCAAGGCGACGACGGGUAGCCGGCCUGAGAGGGUGACCGGCCACACUGGGACUGAGAUACGGCCCAGACUCCUACGGGAGGCAGCAGUGGGGAACAUUGCACAAUGGGCGCAAGCCUGAUGCAGAGACGCCGCGUGAGGGAUGACGGCCUUCGGGUUGUAAACCUCUUUCAGCAUCGACGAAGCGAAAGUGACGGUAGGUGCGGAAGAAGGACCGGCCAACUACGUGCCAGCCGCCGCGGUAA
RNAcentral lists this ribosomal RNA (478 nucleotides) under uncultured bacterium. RNAcentral describes it as "partial 16S ribosomal RNA". It matches the Rfam family "Bacterial small subunit ribosomal RNA", at positions 28 to 523 of the family's 1533-position model. The record is from RNAcentral.